This is a non-coding RNA of Caenorhabditis elegans, 21 nucleotides long. NCBI's taxonomy places the organism in Eukaryota, Metazoa, Nematoda, Chromadorea, Rhabditida, Rhabditidae. The record is from Ensembl.
UUCCAACUGACACAUUUUUAU